Molecule: long non-coding RNA, 228 nt
Filed under: Elaeis guineensis (African oil palm)
Lineage: Eukaryota; Viridiplantae; Streptophyta; Magnoliopsida; Arecales; Arecaceae
Description: long non-coding RNA (EGUI_LNC073303)
Source: RNAcentral
AGAAAGGACGCCUCAACUUCGGGGUCGAUGAAGAAAGCCAGGACAGAGGGGACAAGCUCGGCCGCGCCUGCUCCAACGCCCGUCGCCGUCGAAGUCCCCUCCGACGCCGAACCUGAAGUCCCCCAAAUCCUUUCAUAGAGCCCCCUGGCCAAGGGUCCCGUUUCGAAGGUUCAUCCCGAGGGGGCUCCUGGGGCCGAAGGGAGGAAGAGAAAGAAAACCCUAGCCCGG